RNAcentral lists this unclassified non-coding RNA (333 nucleotides) under soil metagenome. Its description in RNAcentral is "partial contains 5.8S ribosomal RNA, internal transcribed spacer 2, and large subunit ribosomal RNA". The stretch from base 1 to 120 matches the Rfam family "5.8S ribosomal RNA", at positions 35 to 154 of the family's 154-position model. The record is from RNAcentral.
GAUGAAGAACGUAGCGAAAUGCGAUAAGUAGUGUGAAUUGCAGAAUUCAGUGAAUCAUCGAAUCUUUGAACGCACAUUGCGCCCUUUGGUAUUCCUUAGGGCAUGCCUGUUCGAGCGUCAUUUAAACCUUCAAGCUCAGCUUGGUGUUGGGUGACUGUCCGCUUCACCGCGGACUCGCCUCAAAAUUAUUGGCGGCCGGUACAUUGGCUCUCGAGCGCAGCAGAAACGCGUAACUCGAGGUCCUCGUGCUGGCUCCCAGAAGCUAUCUUCACAAUUUUGACCUCGGAUCAGGUAGGGAUACCCGCUGAACUUAAGCAUAUCAUAAGCGGAGGA